Long non-coding RNA from Xenopus tropicalis (tropical clawed frog), 150 nucleotides. RefSeq lists it as uncharacterized. The record is from RefSeq and is a predicted model, not a curated record. Lineage: Eukaryota; Metazoa; Chordata; Amphibia; Anura; Pipidae. The transcript is spliced from 3 exons.
AGGAGGAGGAACAAGCGCAGACAAUGGAGCCGGCUAUAAACAACUGCCAUGAGACUCCAGAUUUCCCUGAUAAUAACAUCUGUCAGGAGGAAGAACGUAUCCAAGAAUCUUUGGAUGAGAGAGGAGUCCCUCAAUUUGACACCUGCGAGG